Molecule: long non-coding RNA, 1421 nt
Filed under: Anser cygnoides (Swan goose)
Lineage: Eukaryota; Metazoa; Chordata; Aves; Anseriformes; Anatidae
Description: lncRNA (ENSACDG00005013679.1)
Source: RNAcentral
UCCUGAAAAAAGUGCAGUGAUGGCCUUGAUAUCAGAAAACUAUUUCACCAGAUAGCCAUAGGUUAUGGAUAUUAUUUCACAGAAUAGUCACUAUCAAAAUGCGUUAAAGAUAAAGAUAACAUCGAUAUUUCUCUCCCCACAGACAUUUUAGAGUUUUCGAUGCUCAUGUUAGAUGGUGGCUUAAACCAAAUAGUCCUUACAGUAAAAUUGGCAAGGCAGUUUAAUUGCUGUGGUCCUUUAGUUGGUGUAUUAGGGAUUCAGUGGUCACGUGUAAUAAAAAGUUAAACACACAUUCACCAAGCUUAAACAUUUCUUAGAUGUAAUUUAACUUUGUAAUCUCAAAUCAGAUAUUCUUUGUCAAUAAUUUUUAACCUUCCCAAUUUUAGAAGUUUAGCUUUGCCUGUACAUCAUGCUUGUGUCGAGGAGGGGUCUCUGUUAACUCCUCUGCACCCAUUUCAGCCUCUCAGAAAGCCUCUCUGGAAGGCUUUCAGCAGAGCUGGUGUUCCCUGCUCAGCUUCAGGCUGUGUUGUGAGCUGAAGGGCUUGAGGCACGCUGUGUGCUUGCUGAAGCUGGUCUGCUUUUCUGCUUUUCUGACUCACAAGUUCUCCUGCAGCAGUGAGAGUGGUGUAUCCUGCUUCACUCGGGCAUUUAGAUCUGCCUACAGUUGCCUAAAGUCAGCCUCACAUAUAUGCAAAAUAUAAUCCUGGUGGGAACCAGCAUUUCCCUGGAAGAGCUGUGUCCCAGCCGCAUCUCAUUUAACACUCCUGCACCACGUUUGCUGCUAUUUCACAGGAGAGAGAAAUGCGAGGGAAGAGAAUCGUAUUCAAAUUGUUUGUUCUUCUUGAGCCUGGUUCCAAUCCCAUUAAAUUAUAUUUCUGCAUUACAGUUACUUGGUCUUCUUUGGGAUACCAGUGUUGCUCCUGAGCAAGCAGACAAGGGGCUGAAUGCUGCUGUUCCUGCGUUGCGUGGCUCCAUCACCAGUGCAAGUGCCAAAAAGACACAUUCUUUAAUGUAUGCAAUAGUUUUUCUUGGAUACAAUGUCGACGAUAUACACUUGUCAUUGGACGUAUUUGUGUAAUUUUCCCUCUAUAACGUGUAACAGUGUGCCCCUGAAUUCCUGCAGCAGCAGAAGACCAGCUGAAUUCACCGUAAAGGCUACCUUCCAUCCAAGAGGCAUUCCAUCAGAGCUGCAGAAACUAUUCACGGUGCAGGGACUGCCAAGGCACACUGGAACGAGGAUAUCAAAAUCUUCUCCUGUAAUAUUAUUUCAGUCAUUUCAGUUUUAUAAAGGACAAAAGAAAACAUUACACAUUGCAUGGCUUGCCAAAGCCCGAUUUCCAAAUCCAGUGAUGGACAUCAGAAAGAUGACAGUAGAGAAAUGCCAAAGCAUAGGUGCUGGUUCUUGUACAGGAGCAACCUAG